Molecule: ribosomal RNA, 433 nt
Filed under: uncultured bacterium
Lineage: Bacteria
Description: partial 16S ribosomal RNA
Rfam family: Bacterial small subunit ribosomal RNA
Source: RNAcentral
AACGAACGCUGGCGGCAUGCCUAACGCAUGCAAGUCGAACGAGACCUUCGGGUCUAGUGGCGCACGGGUGCGUAACGCGUGGGAACCUGCCCUUAGGUUCGGAAUAACUCCCCGAAAGGGGUGCUAAUACCGGAUAAUGUCUUCGGACCAAAGAUUUAUCGCCUUUGGAUGGGCCCGCGUUGGAUUAGCUAGUUGGUAGGGUAAAAGCCUACCAAGGCGACGAUGCAUAGCUGGUCUGAGAGGAUGAUCAGCCACACUGGGACUGAGACACGGCCCAGACUGCGACGGGACGGAGCAGUAGGGAGUAUUGGACAAGGGGCGAAAGCGUGAUGCAGCAAUGCGGCGUGUGAGAGGAAGGCGGUAGUGUUGUAAAGCUCUUUUAGCCGGGAGGAUACUGACAGUACCGGGAGAAUAAGCUCCGGCUAACUACGUG